GGGAGGUGGGUCAGUUAUCAAGGUGAGGAGAAUGGAUGUCCAGCAGGUAAAAACAUGUUGUGGAGAGCCAGCAUAGAGGAGUGCCAUGAAAACUGAGGCAGGGGAUCAGCAUGGAGUGUCGUCUGCAUCUCCCGGAGAAGUCUCCUCCCAAACACGCCUUCCUCAACCUGCCCAGACAGUCAAGCAUCAUUGCUGCUCCACUGAGUUACGCACAUGCCUUCUAACAAGCCUGUCUUCUAGAUUUGCACAGAAUCAAAAGAGAGGAAACAAUGAAAGAAAAAACCUCGCCUUGUU
Sus scrofa (pig) is the source of this 294-nucleotide non-coding RNA. NCBI's taxonomy places the organism in Eukaryota, Metazoa, Chordata, Mammalia, Artiodactyla, Suidae. The record is from RefSeq and is a predicted model, not a curated record.